ACAAAAUUUCAGAAAGAGUAGAGCAUUUGCAAAGGGUGCUUCAACCUAUCGUGGAGUCUCCAGGAAUUCGGAUUACAAGAAAUGGCAAGCAAGAAUUGGAAAAGGAAAAGAUAUCAAAGGAAUCUACCUUGGAACAUUUGAUACAGAAGAGGAAGCAGC
Hibiscus syriacus is the source of this 159-nucleotide long non-coding RNA. RefSeq lists it as uncharacterized. The transcript is spliced from 3 exons. Lineage: Eukaryota; Viridiplantae; Streptophyta; Magnoliopsida; Malvales; Malvaceae. The record is from RefSeq and is a predicted model, not a curated record.